AUUGAACGCUGGCGGCAGGCCUAACACAUGCAAGUCGAGCGGAUGAAGGGAGCUUGCUCCUGGAUUCAGCGGCGGACGGGUGAGUAAUGCCUAGGAAUCUGCCUGGUAGUGGGGGAUAACGUCCGGAAACGGGCGCUAAUACCGCAUACGUCCUGAGGGAGAAAGUGGGGGAUCUUCGGACCUCACGCUAUCAGAUGAGCCUAGGUCGGAUUAGCUAGUUGGUGGGGUAAAGGCCUACCAAGGCGACGAUCCGUAACUGGUCUGAGAGGAUGAUCAGUCACACUGAAACUGAGACACGGUCCAGACUCCGACGGGAGGCAGCAGUGGGGAAUAUUGGAAAAUGGGCGAAAGCCUGAUCCAGCCAUGCCGCGUGUGUGAAGAAGGUCUUCGGAUUGUAAAGCACUUUAAGUUGGGAGGAAGGGCAGUAAGUUAAUACCUUGCUGUUUUGACGUUACCAACAGAAUAAGCACCGGCUAACUUCGG
This 483-nucleotide ribosomal RNA is filed under the name uncultured bacterium. RNAcentral's name for it is "partial 16S ribosomal RNA". It matches the Rfam family "Bacterial small subunit ribosomal RNA", at positions 30 to 506 of the family's 1533-position model. The record is from RNAcentral.